CAAUGGAGAAAAUUUUAUGUAUCCGAUUAAUAAUUCGUUCGAUUACGGCAUAUCAAACACUAAUAGCGGGUUUAAGGUUUAAGAGACUAGUAAAAGAACAUCUCCCAGACAAAGUGCUUGCAAAAUUAUGGAAUUGAAAGUGAAAGCGAUAACUGCAAAGAUAGAAGGAAGAAUUCCACUUGAGAAAUUAACCACAAAAAACGGUGGCCUAUCAGUGGAGAUUGUGGGGGAAAAUUCUACAAAGAAAAAACGACCCUGUACAGGAGCAAAAGGAAAAAGAAAUCGAGAGAGAACACGGCAUUAUUUUCGCGGGUCGUCAACGCAAGUGAUUUCUCAAGAAAUUUGGGAGUAUUAACAUAUAUAGGAAGCAGACCUUUUACGACUGGAACUCAAAGACUCUG
Molecule: long non-coding RNA, 401 nt
Organism: Saccostrea cuccullata (small rock oyster)
Lineage: Eukaryota; Metazoa; Mollusca; Bivalvia; Ostreida; Ostreidae
Exons: 3
Source: RefSeq, a predicted model, not a curated record